UGGCACACUACUUGGGUCUGCAGAAGAGCCCUGGCAGCAGAACAGAGCUGCAGCUGGGAGCCCAGAGGAGCAGGGGGAAGAAAGGAUCCCCAAGGCUCUGCUAACUGGCCUCAGCUCUGUUUGUAGGCAGUUUCCAGAACAUUAGUUCUCAGGGUGUGAGCCCUAGACCAUUUCUACCAUAGCACCUGGAAAGGGUAGAUUUUUUUUUCCCCUCAACCAUGGCAGUCAGGAAACAGAAACUAGAAAGUGCAGACUUAAAAAGCCUGUCCCCUCUGAGUGUUCUGCCACUGAAUCAGAUACAGGAGCUCCUUAGAGCUGCUCAAAGCAUUCCGACCCUAGACACUUACAAAUCUCUCUGCAGGGCUCAGAAACCCAAGGGCGGGCAGUGCCGACCCCUCUCCCUGCCCCAUUUUGCUCGCCAUGCACCACAGCCCACCUGGCAAGGCCAGGAGCAGCAGGCCAAAGAUAGGUUUUCUUCGAUCUAUCAAGAGCCGCGCAGCACUUCCUGUGCCCCAUGCUUCAUUAGCACAUUGGUGGUGUUGCUUCCUGCCACUGACUCGCUGUUUCCAUUCUGCCAAGGCGGUUUGCUGUUUUCGCUCUGCCUCCGAGGUUGGAGAAAGAUGAGUUUCUCAUAGAGCCUCUCCCGGGCCUGUUGGCAGUUUGUCCUUCCGUGCCAGUUGUGUUUCCAGCGGAAGACGGAGACGGAAAGCUGUCCAGGAGCCACCUCGCGCUGGAAGCCUGGCACCUGAUAGUGUUUGCCUCCCACAGCAGGCCUUGGGGCCACCCCAGGUAGGACCAGACCUGUGGUUUUUGUGUGCUGAGUAAAACUCAGCCUGGCAUGGCAAAUUCAAGGUAAAGAGUCUGUUGAGGGGAAGAAGAUUCUAGAAUAAAAGAGGAACCAAGCUUUAGAAAUGAAGAAAUGAAAACCAAAGACUUUGUUUUUGUGAGGGACUUUGGUGAAUGAAGAUUCUAGGAAGAAGAAAUUUUGAGAAUAAAAAGGUGUGCUAGGGAGUGUUUGCCACCGUGCUGAUUAGGAGGUCUUCCGUCAUUCUUGUAUGAGUCACUAGAAAUUAAAAAUAUAGGUGCGUGUUUGGAAACUGCGAUCCAAUUUGCCUUUUCUCCGAGGAGCCAGCAACAUAGGAAGAGUGGCAGACACUCUGCAUGGCGGUCAUGAUUGACAUCAGAAGCAGAGCCUAAAGCCAGAGAGGACUGCAGCGGUCCCCCGGAGGAUGGCCGUCACCCCAGCCCCUUCAGACCUUGCAAGGAGGACAUCGGACACCAGCACUCGGAUGGUGACUUUCAGCAGCCUGGAAGAGGGUAAAGACCAGAGCAGCGGCAUCCUUUCUGGGUUUGCAGGACUCCUUGCCCUCCUCCUGAUCAUCACAGCUUUCUGCAUCCUGUGGAACUGGAACAAAAGGAAGAAGCGACAAGUUCCUUACCUCCGAGUGACUGGCAUGCCCUCAUUGACCCUGCCUCAACCCAGACAACGGGCCAAAAAUAUUUACGACUUCUUGCCUCGCCGACAAGAAGAGCUAGGGAGGCAUCCGUCAAGAGGUAUCCGCAUUUUCAGUGCUGAGAGCCUCAUCUCCAGGACCUCUGACAGCCCUGAGCAUGUGUCCUCUCAAGCAGAGAACAUCCUCCAGAGACACCGCGUCUACAUCCACACUGCGGGCUAUGCGGUGGGUGUCUAUGACAAUGCCACUGUGCCCCAGACGUGUGGGAACCUCCCUCCCUCAGCAUGCUACAUCAAUGUCACAGCUUCCAGGGAUGGCUCGAGCGUAUCCUCAGAGGAGUUAAAUGAUUAUGUCAAUGUGCCCACAGAAGAAGAGACUGCGGAAAUGUUAACUUCUACAAGCAGCCCAGCUGAAAAUGUCUUUGUCCUUCCACAUGUCCAAGAGCUGGAGUUUAAUGAAGAAGGACAUGAGAGCUGUGGUAACACCAAUGAUGGCACCAGUGUUGGGUCUCCAGAAACUGAGGUCAACGAUCCAGUCAGUGAUGGGGAAGGUUCUUCUCAGACCUCCCAUGACUAUGUCAACAUGACAGGUUUGGAUCUUGGAGAUGUUCAGGAGAAGGAGCCCCAGGUGGAUUUUCAGAGCUACAGAGAUUAUGUAAAUGUCCCAGCAGCAGCUCCCAAUGGAAGCACGCAGCAGGUUGAGGAAGAAGAAAUGUCUUCAACCACAGACUGUGGAGAGGGUGGGACAGAUGGUCCAGAGACCCGCAUCCAACCUGUCACAAGGAGAUCCCUGUCUUCAGGGUGUUAUGUGGCCCUUUGGCCAUGCAUACAGAGUGGGAACAGUCAGAUGACACAUGGAGAAGAGAUGUCAGAUGAAGACUCGGACGACUAUGAGAAUGUGCUGAUUGUUGAGUCAGAAGGCAGGGACUGGGAGCAGGGGCCUGGUUCUCAGCUCCUUCCUGACCAGUGAGCACCUAGGGACCCAGCUGGACCACCUCAGGGAGUUGCCCACCCUGCUGGUCCUUAGCCGGUGCAGUCUAGUGAAGAUGCCCAAGCACUCUAUUUCAGUGGAUUCAGUUGGUCAAGCCAACCAGGGCAGAGAGGAAGUGGGGAGAUAACAGGCUGCAUAAAAGUAAAGGUUUGGGAAAGCAGUUCCAAAGAUGGGUUGUCUCUCACACUGCCCUCAGAAUUUUUUGCUGAAACUGCUGGAAUGGACUGUUGAGAAAUAAAAAGCAAGAUAGUGCUUAGUGCAUAGUGGAAGCAGAGGCUAAAAUAAUUACCUUCACUAAUGGACACUGCUCCAAAGCACGAGUGUAGAUUAUUUUGUGAUCCAGGCAAAGGAAGGAAGAAGUAGGGUAGGAUUGGACAAUUUCCAUUUUACAAAAGCUGUGGGCAAGGACAUGUGUGUCCUACCUCUCUACGCUAAGAGUACUUGGAAGCUCUUGGUUUCUAAAUGCUAUGCUCCAGUCAAAGUAGCCAGAGCUGCUUGGAAAAGGUCUAGGGGCUGAGACAGGGAAUAUAGGAUGAGCUUGUACAUCAGGCAGGAAAGGAGAGGGGAAGAAGAGAAGAGAGAGAAGGUGACGGAGAGAGAGAGAGAGGGCAAGACAGAGAGACAGAGAGCAACCGAAAGAGCUCCCAAAGACAAAGCUAGAACAAGGUUAAAUAAAUAAAAUAGAUGAGUUCCAAAUAUGUACAGAAAGAAUGAGGGAAACACAAAAUCACCAUGAGAUACCACAGAACAAGUGCUGCAGCCAAAUCCGCUCAUGAACACUAAAAUUAGUGAAACUUUAAGAAGAAGAAAAAUGGCUGAGGAUUUAGCUCAGCGGCAUAAGCGCCUGCCUUGUAAGAAGGCAGUCGUGAGUUCGAUCCCUGGUACCGAUAAAAAGGAAAAAUGCAAAAAAUAAAAAAUUAAAGAAGAAGAAGAAAAACAUUGCCUAGCUUCCAAGAAUCUUGAAAAUAUUUAUUCAUUACUGUGGUGAUUUUAACACAUAUCCACAAAGUAUUUGACAUUUCCCUUGAAGUUUGAUUCCCCUCCCCUUCAGUGCUGGCUAAAUUUAGUGACACUUUCUAAUGAAUAGAAUACUGAAGGAGGAAAACAGGGCUUUACAGGGGAGAAAUGUGGCCUUAACCAAGGGACUGAAAUCAACUUAUCAGAGCAAGUCACAUUGUGAUCAUGUGGCCCCUGAUAGGAUGAUGAAUAGCACCCCAAAACUCAUCACCCAGCCUUAUCAUCAGAAAAAUCCAAAUUAUAUAACAUGGUACAAAAAACCUGAUCAGAUCUAUUUAAAGUGUCAGGGUCAAGAAAGAGGUGAAAGACUGAGAAACUAAGGCGUCACGAUGACUAACACAUAAUGACGGCUCGGGCUGGAUCCUGGAACGGCUACGACAAAGAAGGACCUUACUGGGAAAACUGCUGAGCUAAAAGACGUCCGUAUUUUAGCUAGGAGUACUGUACGAGUGUUAAGUCCUUCACUUUUAUAACUGGUCCAUGGGUAUGGAAGACGUCAGCAUAGAGGAGAGUUCGGAAGACCCCAUCCUGCAGUUGUGAGCAGAAGACAAGCCGUGCUCCUUUUAGAUAUCUCGCUUCCUGAUCGCUCCUUGCUUUCAUAGAAUUUAUCGUCAUUUCUGGUUCUUCUGUGGACCAACAGCCAGCGAAAACUUGCAAACGUUUCCAGAAACACUAAAUCAGAGGGCCAGUGGCCUGUUCCCCCCAAGCUGGAGUUAAAUGGAAGGCACCUGAGGCUCUUCACAUGACAGCCAUCAGAGCCAGCCUCACAGACAAGCGACCUGUGCAGGGACAUGAACCUAGGUAGAGCCGUCAGUAUCUUUAAAUUCUUUUUUUUAAAGGUCUCACUAAGUUGCUUAAUUGCUCAAGCUGGACUUAAACUUCUUCUCCUCCUGCCCGAGCCUCCCAGAGUUCUGGGAUUACAGGUGGGCUCCACCAUGUCUGACCUGAAAUCCUUAGCUUUGAAAGAAAUUCUUCUCUUUGAACUUGUGUCUUAUAAGUGAAAUCUAUUGAGAUGAUGGAGACACCAUGCACACAAUGUGCAUGUCCAGCACUCCUGUCCCCCUCUAUACAUAAAAUGUUUGUAGUGCCCCAUGCUUGGAGGUCUCUGGGGGCCCCAUGGUGGCAGUUAAUCCUAAUUGUUUGCUUGAACUGAAUAAGAGACUUCUGGAGAGAUGCCCAUGGAUUAAUCUACUGGUGUUUAUAGCAGAAAGUGCUGUAGGGAGGCGGAGUUUAUUGAAGAAGGUGAAUCACAGCAGUGUGCCUUUGCAAGACUUAUCUCUUGCUGAUGUUUUUCUCUUGGGCUCUGCUUCCUGUCUUCCAUGAAGAGAGCAUCUUUCUAUGACCUUCUACUUUGAUUUUUCUGCCAUGGAGUCGCUGACCAUGGACUAGACCUCUGAAACCACAAGCCAAAUAAAUCUCUCUUCCUUGAAA
RNA transcript from Cavia porcellus (domestic guinea pig), 4892 nucleotides. It is a transcript of the gene named lymphocyte transmembrane adaptor 1, with no coding region annotated. The record is from RefSeq and is a predicted model, not a curated record. The transcript has 6 exons. NCBI's taxonomy places the organism in Eukaryota, Metazoa, Chordata, Mammalia, Rodentia, Caviidae.